UAAAAAUUAGUUAAGCAAAAUAACAUAAACUUGUCAAGUUUAAGUCAUCUCUGAAAGAUAUUUUUAA
RNAcentral lists this transfer RNA (67 nucleotides) under Munidopsis lauensis. RNAcentral describes it as "tRNA-Asp". The record is from RNAcentral. Lineage: Eukaryota; Metazoa; Arthropoda; Malacostraca; Decapoda; Munidopsidae.